AUUGAACGCUGGCGGCAGGCCUAACACAUGCAAGUCGAGCGGAUGAAGGGAGCUUGCUCCUGGAUUCAGCGGCGGACGGGUGAGUAAUGCCUAGGAAUCUGCCUGGUAGUGGGGGAUAACGUCCGGAAACGGGCGCUAAUACCGCAUACGUCCUGAGGGAGAAGGUGGGGGAUCUUCGGACCUCACGCUAUCAGAUGAGCCUAGGUCGGAUUAGCUAGUUGGUGGGGUAAAGGCCUACCAAGGCGACGAUCCGUAACUGGUCUGAGAGGAUGAUCAGUCACACUGGAACUGAGACACGGUCCAGACUCCUACGGGAGGCAGCAGUGGGGAAUAUUGGACAAUGGGCGAAAGCCUGAUCCAGCCAUGCCGCGUGUGUGAAGAAGGUCUUCGGAUUGUAAAGCACUUUAAGUUGGGAGGAAGGGCAGUAAGUUAAUACCUUGCUGCUUUGACGUUACCAACAGAAUAAGCACCGGCUAACUUCGUG
Molecule: ribosomal RNA, 484 nt
Filed under: uncultured bacterium
Lineage: Bacteria
Description: partial 16S ribosomal RNA
Rfam family: Bacterial small subunit ribosomal RNA
Source: RNAcentral